Molecule: non-coding RNA, 119 nt
Organism: Ricinus communis (castor bean)
Lineage: Eukaryota; Viridiplantae; Streptophyta; Magnoliopsida; Malpighiales; Euphorbiaceae
Source: Rfam
GGGUGGGAUCAUACCAGCACUAAUGCACCGGAUCCCAUCAGAACUCCGAAGUUAAACGUGCUUUGGCGUUAUUAGUACUAAGAUGGGUGACCUCUUGGGAAGUCCUCGUGUUGCACCCC